GGAGAAGGGACCUCUGUUGCAAAUUAUUCUCUGAGCUCAUGCAGUCCUCCUGCAUCGAAAGACCCCAGCAGAAUGCGAGGGAGCAGACAAUGUUAGAGUCCAGAAAAGCACAAUAUGAACACGAGGGCAGGUGGCGGGUUGAAGAUGAUAGGUGACGUCAGCUGGCUGACAGAAAGCAGGAGUCAAUGCUGAGGUUCCUGGAGGAUCAAACUGAUAUGCUCCGGCGUAUGGUUGAGAUGCAGGAAAU
Dermochelys coriacea (leatherback sea turtle) is the source of this 247-nucleotide long non-coding RNA. RefSeq lists it as uncharacterized. The record is from RefSeq and is a predicted model, not a curated record. Lineage: Eukaryota; Metazoa; Chordata; Testudines; Dermochelyidae. The transcript has 3 exons.